GAUGAACGCUGGCGGCGUGCCUAAUACAUGCAAGUCGAGCGAACGGACGAGAAGCUUGCUUCUCUGAUGUUAGCGGCGGACGGGUGAGUAACACGUGGAUAACCUACCUAUAAGACUGGGAUAACUUCGGGAAACCGGAGCUAAUACCGGAUAAUAUUUUGAACCGCAUGGUUCAAAAGUGAAAGACGGUCUUGCUGUCACUUAUAGAUGGAUCCGCGCUGCAUUAGCUAGUUGGCAAGGUAACGGCUUACCAAGGCAACGAUGCAUAGCCGACCUGAGAGGGUGAUCGGCCACACUGGAACUGAGACACGGUCCAGACUCCUACGGGAGGCAGCAGUAGGGAAUCUUCCGCAAUGGGCGAAAGCCUGACGGAGCAACGCCGCGUGAGUGAUGAAGGUCUUCGGAUCGUAAAACUCUGUUAUUAGGGAAGAACAUAUGUGUAAGUAACUGUGCACAUCUUGACGUUACCUAAUCAGAAAGCCACGGCUAACUACGUG
Molecule: ribosomal RNA, 497 nt
Filed under: uncultured bacterium
Lineage: Bacteria
Description: partial 16S ribosomal RNA
Rfam family: Bacterial small subunit ribosomal RNA
Source: RNAcentral